Molecule: long non-coding RNA, 3563 nt
Filed under: Sus scrofa (pig)
Lineage: Eukaryota; Metazoa; Chordata; Mammalia; Artiodactyla; Suidae
Description: lncRNA (ENSSSCG00000058763.1)
Source: RNAcentral
AUUCUUCUGUUUGUGGGGUGGCAUUGCAGCUGCUACCUAUGGAAGGACUCAAAGGCUUUGCUGGAUCUGCCCGCCUCUCCACCGCUCCAAAAUCAACUUUGCUCACCCCCUUGCUCACUAUGCUCAGUCACACUGAACUUCCUACAGUUCCCCAAACAGCUGAGCUCUUUCCUGCCUCAGGACCUUGGCUGGUGCUGUUCCUUCUGCCUAGGACACUGUUAUACCUCUUGCAUGGAUGGAUCCUUCUCAUCCUUCAGGCUUCACCUUAAGGAGAGCCCCCUUUAAAGGGCCUUCCUCAAACCACCCUAUCCAACAUAGAUCCUCCCUCUUGGCCUCUAUUUCACCACCUAUAUCUUUCUCCCAGAGACUGCAUGAAAGAUAUGUGAUUUUUUCAAUUUACUUGUGAAGCAGCAGCAAAUUUCACAGGCUGCAUACUCAUUUAUGCAUAAAAUAUAAUCAAUUAUUUUUUGUAUUUAUUAAUUUCUUUGUCACAGGGGCAUAAUCUAGUCUUCUUGGGAUAAACUCAGCCAGAUUAAUGACUACGGAAUCAUUUCAGGUUAUCCAUUCAGUCAAAUUCAGCGUUCUGCCUUUGGGUCUCUUUCUCAAAAUAAUGAUUUUGCUAAGGUGUAGGAUCCCCUUAGCCUUUGAUCAUUGGCAUUCAUCCCCCUAGCUUCCUCCUAAAUGACCCAGGUCUUAUUGUGGCCUUCCCUGCCUUCUGCAUCAUCCUUUUCCCCAAACUAACUGGGUUCUCCAGCCUCUCUCAACUCUCCUGGGUUCUGCCUAUGAGCUGGGGGCGGAGUUGCAGUGGGUCUUGGCUACUCUUUCUGUCCCAUGCCAUGAGGCUGCUCUGGGCCCACUGUGGAUGCCUCACUCAGCCAUGCCUCUUUACCCUCACACACAGGCUUCUCUGGGAAGUUACCUGUGGAGGGAUGAAAGUCUUCUAUGCUCUGAAGUUAAGCAGUUUUCCAUGGAGCUUCUAUGAUCUUCUGAGCCUAGAGCCUGACUGGGGAUGGAAGGAGCUAUCCCUGCAUCUCCCUCUCCUGAUGCUCUCUUCUUUCCCAAGCUAUAGAGCUUUAUCUGGGGUCGGGGUGGUCAGUGGGAAGGAAUACUCUUCUUGGGCCAUGGUGCAGAGUUGAUGGUGCAGAGCUGACGCUGCAGAGUUGAUGGUGCAAAGUUGAUGGUACAGAGUUGAUGAUGCAGAGUUGAUGGUACAGAGCAGAGGGUACAGAGUUGAUGGUACAGAGCAGAGGGUACAGAGUUGAUGGUACAGAGCUGACGAUGCAGAGCUGACAGUAUAGAGUUGAUGGUGCAGAGGCGACAGUACAGAGCUGAUGGUGCAGAGUUGACGGUGCAGAGUUGAUGGUGCAGAGCUGAUGGUGCAGAACUGAUGGUGCAGAGGUAGCUCCAGGAGGGCAUAUAUAGCCCAUAGCACAGUGCCUGGUACAUGGCAAGGCUUCAGUAAAUAGUCGAUGAGUGAAAGAACAAAUGAACAAAUGACUAUAUCAGUACGAGUUUUCUAUCUUGGAUGAUACUUCUGCCCAGAAUAACCUUGGAGAAAGUGCCAAAGAACUUAGUUUGGUGAGAGUUUCAAAUGUCCUCUGCAAUGUAGUUGUCCCCCUCCUCCUGAGUGAGAGCGUUGCUCUCUGCAAGCCAAGACUGAAUCAGUGUACAAGAAUAUAAACUCAUGAAGUACUGCAUUGGUAACAUGAUCCAAUCAUCUUUGAAUUUUAGGGGAAGGUAAAAAAUAACCAAUAAUUAUUGGUAAUAAGCCUUAAAAAAGUGGCUUUUUGUUCAUGUCCGUGCUAUAGACUUAGAACUCCAAAGACAGUUGAUGAAGAGCUAAUUCCCAGCUUCACCCAAGUCACCGCAAUGCCCUGGAGAAAGCAUGAUGAGUGACUUUCCAGAAGGGCCCUUCACUGGGCAGAGGAGCCCUCUAGGAGCAGCGAGCAUCACUGGGGGCUUCUUGUCUCUGACAAGUGAACAUUUGCACUGACUCUGACAUAGGCUUUGCUUUUCUCUCUUAAGGUGAAGUGAGUGAGUUGAGGGAGGAGAAAAGAGGGGUAUGUUUGGAAAAGAGAGGACCACUUAGAAGUUAAAAAUAAUGGAAGCUAUAAAUUGAGCAAUGAUGUCUUUAAAAGAUUGUGUUUGAUAGGAUCUUAUGAUAAUAAUACAGUGCUCAAAUCACACAUAACUGAUGUGAACAAAUUUGGGGUGUGGGUACAUUAAUAAAUAGAGAAUAUUCAUACCUAUGAGCUUUAAAAAAGACUCUUGAAAGCUGGGAACUAAAAUAUUUCCUUAUUAUACAGUUCCUAUAGAAAAAUAUAUUUUGCAUUCCAAACUGACUUCAAUUGGACUUUUGUAGAAGUUGGGGUGUUGCAAUGGGGGUGGGUUACAUGGUGCAAACCACAGUCUCUAGACUGGGCCUCUUGUCACCAACACACACGUUUAGAAGCCUAUAGGCUCAGCUCAGGGAAGCAGCCGUUGACUGAGGGACAAAGCAUUGCUAACAGGUAAUACCCCAGAAUGUGAAUUCACAACAAAGAGCAGAAAAUGAUAAACUCCAGCUUCCUGUUUUAAAGUCAAUUGCAACUUCAGUUAAAAUGUAGCAUUAACCAUUCAUUCAUUCAAAAUACAUAGAUAUCUCCAUUCUCUCUCUUUAUAAGCCUCUUGAAAAUAACACCGAAGCGAUUAAAAAAAAUUAUAUUGACUUAUAAGGACAGAAAGGACAGGAAAAUAAAUAACAGCAGACAAGAGAUAUAAGCAGAACUGUGGAAGAUGGAAAGCAGGGGUGGGAUGGGGCAUAUGUAAUUAAUUUAGCAGGAAGAAGGAUCCCAAGGGAGGUGCCUACUGGGGAGGGAUGGGGGUCUCUCUACAGACCCCUGUGAGACUCAGUAUCUGAGGGCACAGUAACUGCAGAGGUGAGGGUGAGGGGUGAGGCUGAAACACAGGAGGCUGCUUAUAAAUCUGAAUCAAGAGGUGACCCUUUAAGUAGCUUAUCCUACCCCCUACAGCCAGGAGGCUACCCUCCCACCCUAAGAAGCUUCUUUUAAAGGAAAUUGAAGCUGGAGAGGCUUGGGACAUGAAGAUUCCAGGCAGGGUGUGGACCUGGAUAAAAACAAGGGGCUUAAACGAGUCUCUGCACACUCUGAACUUGGGGACCCUCAGCGUGCUUCCCGUCCUGCUCACAGACAGCCCCCAUCGGGCAUGAUUCCAUCAGUCCCCCUCAGUGGGAAGUUACAGAAAAGAAUAUGACUCAGCCAUUAAAAGGAACGAAAUACCUGCAUUUUUGGCAACAUGGAUGACCUAGAAAUUAUCAUGCUAAGUGAAGUCAGUCAGACAAUGAGACACCAAGAUCAAAUGCUUUCACUGACAUGUGGAAUCUGAAAAAAGGACAGAAUGAACUUCUUUGCAGAAAAGAUACUAACUCACAGACUUUGAAAAACAUAUGGUUGCAAAGGAGACAGUUCAGAGGGUAGGGGGAUGCGCUGGGGUUGUGGGAUGGAAAUCUUAUAAAAUUGGAUUGGGAUGAUCAUUAUACAACUAUAAAUGUAAUAAAUUCAUUG